This 628-nucleotide ribosomal RNA is filed under the name uncultured bacterium. RNAcentral describes it as "bacterial SSU rRNA". It matches the Rfam family "Bacterial small subunit ribosomal RNA", at positions 149 to 770 of the family's 1533-position model. The record is from RNAcentral.
AGCCGAAAGGUUGGCUAAUACCGCAUGAGUUCUACGGAAGAAAGAGGGGGACCCGCAAGGGCCUCUCGCGAGCGGAGCGGCCGAUGACUGAUUAGCCGGUUGGUGAGGUAACGGCUCACCAAAGCAACGAUCAGUAGCUGGUCUGAGAGGACGACCAGCCACACUGGGACUGAGACACGGCCCAGACUCCUACGGGAGGCAGCAGUGGGGAAUUUUGGACAAUGGGCGCAAGCCUGAUCCAGCUAUUCCGCGUGUGGGAUGAAGGCCCUCGGGUUGUAAACCACUUUUGUAGAGAACGAAAAGACACCUUUUAAAAAAGGGUGUUGCUGACGGUACUCUAAGAAUAAGCACCGGCUAACUACGUGCCAGCAGCCGCGGUAAUACGUAGGGUGCGAGCGUUAAUCGGAAUUACUGGGCGUAAAGGGUGCGCAGGCGGUUGAGUAAGACAGAUGUGAAAUCCCCGAGCUUAACUCGGGAAUGGCAUAUGUGACUGCUCGACUAGAGUGUGUCAGAGGGAGGUGGAAUUCCACGUGUAGCAGUGAAAUGCGUAGAUAUGUGGAAGAACACCGAUGGCGAAGGCAGCCUCCUGGGACAUAACUGACGCUCAGGCACGAAAGCGUGGGGAGCA